Molecule: ribosomal RNA, 468 nt
Filed under: uncultured bacterium
Lineage: Bacteria
Description: partial 16S ribosomal RNA
Rfam family: Bacterial small subunit ribosomal RNA
Source: RNAcentral
GACGAACGCUGGCGGCGUGCUUAACACAUGCAAGUCGAACGGAAAGGCCCUGCUUUUGUGGGGUGCUCGAGUGGCGAACGGGUGAGUAACACGUGAGUAACCUGCCCUUGACUUUGGGAUAACUUCAGGAAACUGGGGCUAAUACCGGAUAGGAGCUCCUGCUGCAUGGUGGGGGUUGGAAAGUUUCGGCGGUUGGGGAUGGACUCGCGGCUUAUCAGCUUGUUGGUGGGGUAGUGGCUUACCAAGGCUUUGACGGGUAGCCGGCCUGAGAGGGUGACCGGCGACAAUGGGACUGAGAGACGGCGCAGACUCGUACGGGAGGCAGCAGUGGGGAACAUUGCACAAUGGGCGGAAGCCUGAUGCAGCAGCGCCGCGUGCGGGAUGACGGCCUUCGGGUUGUAAACCGCUUUCGCCUGUGACGAAGCGUGAGUGACGGUAAUGGGUAAAGAAGCACCGGCUAACUACGUG